This 224-nucleotide ribosomal RNA is filed under the name uncultured bacterium. Its description in RNAcentral is "partial 16S ribosomal RNA". It matches the Rfam family "Bacterial small subunit ribosomal RNA", at positions 28 to 244 of the family's 1533-position model. The record is from RNAcentral.
GAUGAACGCUAGCGACAGGCCUAACACAUGCAAGUCGAGGGGCAGCAUAGGGUAGCUUGCUACUUUGAUGGCGACCGGCGCACGGGUGAGUAACGCGUAUGCAACCUACCUACUACAGGGGGAUAGCCCGAAGAAAUUCGGAUUAAUACCGCAUAAAACAGGGGCUCCGCAUGGGGAUAUUUGUUAAAGAUUUAUUGGUAGUAGAUGGGCAUGCGUUCCAUUAG